AUAUAUAUAAUAGUAUAGCCGCCCGGCUAUACAAUUUUUUGAAUUUUUUUUAAAAAAAUAGUAUAGCCGGGCGGCUAUACUCGUUUUUGC
RNAcentral lists this microRNA precursor (90 nucleotides) under Prunus dulcis (almond). Its description in RNAcentral is "sRNA ncRNA". Lineage: Eukaryota; Viridiplantae; Streptophyta; Magnoliopsida; Rosales; Rosaceae. The record is from RNAcentral.